Molecule: ribosomal RNA, 1476 nt
Filed under: uncultured Actinomycetes bacterium
Lineage: Bacteria; Bacillati; Actinomycetota; Actinomycetes
Description: bacterial SSU rRNA
Rfam family: Bacterial small subunit ribosomal RNA
Source: RNAcentral
AGAGUUUGAUCAUGGCUCAGGACGAACGCUGGCGGCGUGCUUAACACAUGCAAGUCGAACGGUAAGGCUCUUCGGAGUACACGAGUGGCGAACGGGUGAGUAACACGUGAGCAACCUGCCCUUGACACUGGGAUAACAGUUGGAAACAGCUGCUAAUACCGGAUACGACCUUGAUCGGCAUCGAUCGAGGUGGAAAGUUCCGGCGGUCAAGGAUGGGCUCGCGGCCUAUCAGCUUGUUGGUGAGGUAACGGCUCACCAAGGCUUCGACGGGUAGCCGGCCUGAGAGGGCGACCGGCCACACUGGGACUGAGAUACGGCCCAGACUCCUACGGGAGGCAGCAGUGGGGAAUAUUGCGCAAUGGGCGAAAGCCUGACGCAGCAACGCCGCGUGCGGGAUGACGGCCUUCGGGUUGUAAACCGCUUUCAGCAGGGACGAAGCAACACGUGACGGUACCUGCAGAAGAAGCACCGGCCAACUACGUGCCAGCAGCCGCGGUGAUACGUAGGGUGCGAGCGUUGUCCGGAAUUAUUGGGCGUAAAGAGCUUGUAGGCGGUCUAUUGCGUCGAAAGUGAAAACUCAGGGCUCAACCCUGAGCCUGCUCUCGAUACGGGUAGACUUGAGGGAUGUAGGGGAGAACGGAAUUCUUGGUGGAGCGGUGGAAUGCGCAGAUAUCAGGAGGAACACCGGUGGCGAAGGCGGUUCUCUGGACAUUUCCUGACGCUGAGAAGCGAAAGCGUGGGUAGCAAACAGGCUUAGAUACCCUGGUAGUCCACGCCGUAAACGGUGGGUACUAGGUGUGGGGGACAUUCCACGUUCUCCGUGCCGCAGCUAACGCAUUAAGUACCCCGCCUGGGGAGUACGGCCGCAAGGCUAAAACUCAAAGGAAUUGACGGGGCCCCGCACAAGCGGCGGAGCAUGCGGAUUAAUUCGAUGCAACGCGAAGAACCUUACCUGGGUUUGACAUAUGCCGGAAAGGCCUAGAGAUAGGCCCCCCCUUGUGGUCGGUUUACAGGUGGUGCAUGGCUGUCGUCAGCUCGUGUCGUGAGAUGUUGGGUUAAGUCCCGCAACGAGCGCAACCCUCGUCCUAUGUUGCCAGCGGAUAAUGCCGGGGACUCGUAGGAUACUGCCGGGGUCAACUCGGAGGAAGGUGGGGAUGACGUCAAGUCUUCAUGCCCCUUAUGUCCAGGGCUUCACGCAUGCUACAAUGGCCAGUACAAAGGGCUGCAAACUCGCAAGGGUAAGCGAAUCCCAAAAAGCUGGUCUCAGUUCGGAUUGGGGUCUGCAACUCGACCCCAUGAAGUCGGAGUCGCUAGUAAUCGCAGAUCAGCAACGCUGCGGUGAAUACGUUCCCGGGGCUUGUACACACCGCCCGUCAAGUCAUGAAAGUCGGUAACACCCGAAGCCAGUGGCCCAACCCUUGUGGAGGGAGCUGUCGAAGGUGGGACCGGUAAUUAGGACUAAGUCGUAACAAGGUA